This 78-nucleotide transfer RNA is filed under the name Cryptococcus deneoformans B-3501A. RNAcentral's name for it is "tRNA-Cys". It matches the Rfam family "tRNA". Rfam says of the family: Transfer RNA (tRNA) molecules are approximately 80 nucleotides in length. Lineage: Eukaryota; Fungi; Basidiomycota; Tremellomycetes; Tremellales; Cryptococcaceae. The record is from RNAcentral.
GUGGGAGUAGCUCAGUUUUGGUUAGAGCAACCGAUUGCAAUCAUCGGUAGGUCGUGGGUUCGAAUCCCACUUCCCACU